AAGACCUUGCGCUUUUGGAGCGGCCGAUGUCUGAUUAGCUGGUUGGUGGGGUAAUGGCCUACCAAAGCUUCGAUCAGUAGCUGGUCUGAGAGGACGGCCAGCCACACUGGGACUGAGACACGGCCCAGACUCCUACGGGAGGCAGCAGUGGGGAAUUUUGGACAAUGGGCGCAAGCCUGAUCCAGCCAUGCCGCGUGAGUGAAGAAGGCCUUCGGGUUGUAAAGCUCUUUCAGCCGGGAAGAAAAGGUUGCGAUUAAUAAUCGCAAUUGAUGACGGUACCGGAAGAAGAAGCACCGGCUAACUACGUGCCAGCAGCCGCGGUAAUACGUAGGGUGCGAGCGUUAAUCGGAAUUACUGGGCGUAAAGGGUGCGCAGGCGGUUUUGUAAGUCAGAUGUGAAAUCCCCGGGCUUAACCUGGGAACU
This 423-nucleotide ribosomal RNA is filed under the name uncultured bacterium. Its description in RNAcentral is "bacterial SSU rRNA". It matches the Rfam family "Bacterial small subunit ribosomal RNA", at positions 207 to 622 of the family's 1533-position model. The record is from RNAcentral.